AACGGCUGUAAGUAGCAUAUCUUGAUGAAGAUUGGGCAGCAUGAAGGUGGCCUAUGCUCAAGGUUUGGGAUCGAGAAGGUGGAGUACGAAGAUCAGCUCCGGAGAUCUCUAUAGAGGAGUUAUUGGCUUGACAGGCACCAAUCUUUAUCACUAUGAAGACACCGUUACUCCUGUUGGGGGCGCUGUUGGUCACUCUGAGGACUUGGAGAUGGCGAGGAUGUUGGUGGAAGGCUUUAUUGUUUAUAAUGUUUAGAAUGAUUGCGUCACAAAUCUAAAGCUGAUGAAGUUUGGAAAAAGAAAAGAUAAAGAAGGAGAAGACGCUCUGGCAACUUGUCCAAGAAAAAAAAACAAAAACUAAAGAUGCGAGGGAGUAGUUGUAUUAUGCUUCAUGGAGUGAAGAACAUGCACACGAUGGGGCGGCGUCUUGAUAUUUUUGUAAUAAAUUUAAAACAAUCGCACUAAACCGAACCGAACUGUUGAUAUUUUCCAAUUGCAAUUUAAUUUGAGGGUGGAAUCGCAUCGUGCCCACCACUAAAGUU
Molecule: long non-coding RNA, 539 nt
Organism: Pyrus x bretschneideri (Chinese white pear)
Lineage: Eukaryota; Viridiplantae; Streptophyta; Magnoliopsida; Rosales; Rosaceae
Exons: 4
Source: RefSeq, a predicted model, not a curated record